AAGAGACGUUUGUUGGUUUGUGUUUGUGUGCUUGCUUGCUUGCUUGUUUAAGUGUGUGUGUGUGUGUGUGUGUGCGUGUGUCCGUGCGUGCGUUUUGACGACUAAGUGCUCUAGCCUUUUGUUGUUUUUAAAUUGUCUAUUAUUAUUUUAAAGCUAAGAAAUGCAUUCAAAGUCCAGUCCAGCGCCUUCGGGAUUAAAACAACAGGACAGGCUAAUGUGGAAAUCAAGGUCACACCUCUCUGCAGCGUCAUCUUUUCGCGUCUCAGCCCACUGUCCAGUCCUGGACCAUGGGAAUACUCUCUCACAGCAAUCAGUCACUGGUGUGGACCACAGGACCAUGGACCACAGAAGAAAACCGUAACAGAAUCACCCACCACAACAGGACCAAGUGGCGUGGUGACAGGCAGCGGCAGCAGGAGCAGUGAAGUCAGGACUAUACGACUUGGGAGGAAAUAGACAGGUGGACGGUCAACCCAGUGAGAGUGCCGGAGCCCGCCUGGGAUUCGCUGGAGCAGUGCGAGGAGGGUUAUAGGAGAAUGGAGUUGGAGAGACGAGCACGGCGGCGUGGAUAGAAGCCCGAGAGUCAGCCCCAAAAAUGUCACACAGGGAGUAUGGCGAAGCCAGGUAGGAGACCUGCGCCAACUUCCUGUGCUUACCGGGGGGCUAGAUAGACCGGGCAGGCACCGUGUUAUGCUGUGGAGUGCACGGUGUCUCCAGUGCGGGUGCAUAGCCAGCUCCUCGUAUCGGCCGGGCUAGAGUGGGCAUCGAGCCAAGUGUCAUGAAGCCGGCUCUAUGCAUCUGGUCUACAGUGCGUCUCCUUGGGCCGGCUUACAUGGCACCAGCCUUGCGCACGGUGUCCCCGGUUCGCCUGCAUAGCCCAGUGCAGGCUAUUCCACCUCGCCGCACUGGCAGGGCGACCGGGAGCAUUCAACCAGGUAAGGUUGGGCAGGCUCGGUGCUCAAGAGCUCCAGUGCGCCUGCACGGUCCGGUCUAUCCGGUACCACCUCUACGCAUCAGCCCUCCGGUGGCAGCUCCCCGCACUCGCCCAGAGGUGCGUGUCCUCUGCCCAGUACCACCAGUGCCGGCACCACGCACCAGACCUACAGUGCGCCUCGCCUGUCCAGCGCCGCCGGAGUCUCCCGCCUGUCCAGCGCCGCCGGAGUCUCCCUCCUCGCCAGCGCCGCCGGAGCCUCCCGCCUGUCCGGCGCCGCCGGAGUCUCCCGCCUGUCAGGCAGGAUCUGCCAGAGCCGCCUGUCAUCCAGGAUCUACCAGAGCCGCCAGUCAGCCAGACUCUGCCAGAGCCAUCAAACUGCCUGAGCUUCCCCUCAGUCCCUAGCUUCCCCUCAGUCCCAAGCUUCCCCUCAGUCCCGAGCUUCCCCUCAGUCCCGAGCUGCCCCUCAGUUCAGUGGGGCCCUUUGUAAGGGUUACUAGGCCAAGGUCGGCGGCGAGGGUCUCCAAUCUAAGGACGCUAAGGAGGUGGACAAAGACUAAGUUGGAGUGGGGUCCACGUCCCGCGCCAGAGCCACCACCGUGGAUAGACACCCACCCAGACCUCCCCUAUGGGUUUAGGUGUGCGGCCGGGAGUCCGCACCUUUGGGGGGGUAGUGUCACGCCCUGGCCUUAGUAUUUUGUGUUUUCUUUAUUAUUUUGGUCAGGCCAGGGUGUGACGGGUGAUUUAUGUGUCUUGUCUUGUCUAGGGUUUUUUAUAUUUAUGGGGUUGUGUUUAGUAGAGUUGUCUAGGAAAGUCUAUGGUUGCCUAGAGUGGUUCUCAAUCAGAGGCAGGUGUUUAUCAUUGUCUCUGAUUGGGAACCAUAUUUAGGCAGCCAUAUUCUUUGGGUAUUCCGUGGGUGAUUGUUUCCUGUCGUUGUGUUUGUUGCACCAUAUAGGGCUGUUUCGGUUUUUCACGGUUCUUGUUUUGUAAAUUGUUUGUAUUUUCCAUCUUUCAUUGAAGAUGUAUAAAGAUAACCAUGCUGCAUUUUGU
This is a long non-coding RNA of Oncorhynchus tshawytscha (Chinook salmon), 1981 nucleotides long. NCBI's taxonomy places the organism in Eukaryota, Metazoa, Chordata, Actinopteri, Salmoniformes, Salmonidae. The record is from Ensembl.